RNAcentral lists this ribosomal RNA (1399 nucleotides) under Enterococcus durans. RNAcentral's name for it is "bacterial SSU rRNA". It matches the Rfam family "Bacterial small subunit ribosomal RNA", at positions 61 to 1434 of the family's 1533-position model. The record is from RNAcentral. Lineage: Bacteria; Bacillati; Bacillota; Bacilli; Lactobacillales; Enterococcaceae.
GUCGUACGCUUCUUUUUCCCCGGAGCUUGCUCCACCGGAAAAAGAAGAGUGGCGAACGGGUGAGUAACACGUGGGUAACCUGCCCAUCAGAAGGGGAUAACACUUGGAAACAGGUGCUAAUACCGUAUAACAAUCGAAACCGCAUGGUUUUGAUUUGAAAGGCGCUUUCGGGUGUCGCUGAUGGAUGGACCCGCGGUGCAUUAGCUAGUUGGUGAGGUAACGGCUCACCAAGGCCACGAUGCAUAGCCGACCUGAGAGGGUGAUCGGCCACAUUGGGACUGAGACACGGCCCAAACUCCUACGGGAGGCAGCAGUAGGGAAUCUUCGGCAAUGGACGAAAGUCUGACCGAGCAACGCCGCGUGAGUGAAGAAGGUUUUCGGAUCGUAAAACUCUGUUGUUAGAGAAGAACAAGGAUGAGAGUAACUGUUCAUCCCUUGACGGUAUCUAACCAGAAAGCCACGGCUAACUACGUGCCAGCAGCCGCGGUAAUACGUAGGUGGCAAGCGUUGUCCGGAUUUAUUGGGCGUAAAGCGAGCGCAGGCGGUUUCUUAAGUCUGAUGUGAAAGCCCCCGGCUCAACCGGGGAGGGUCAUUGGAAACUGGGAGACUUGAGUGCAGAAGAGGAGAGUGGAAUUCCAUGUGUAGCGGUGAAAUGCGUAGAUAUAUGGAGGAACACCAGUGGCGAAGGCGGCUCUCUGGUCUGUAACUGACGCUGAGGCUCGAAAGCGUGGGGAGCAAACAGGAUUAGAUACCCUGGUAGUCCACGCCGUAAACGAUGAGUGCUAAGUGUUGGAGGGUUUCCGCCCUUCAGUGCUGCAGCUAACGCAUUAAGCACUCCGCCUGGGGAGUACGACCGCAAGGUUGAAACUCAAAGGAAUUGACGGGGGCCCGCACAAGCGGUGGAGCAUGUGGUUUAAUUCGAAGCAACGCGAAGAACCUUACCAGGUCUUGACAUCCUUUGACCACUCUAGAGAUAGAGCUUCCCCUUCGGGGGCAAAGUGACAGGUGGUGCAUGGUUGUCGUCAGCUCGUGUCGUGAGAUGUUGGGUUAAGUCCCGCAACGAGCGCAACCCUUAUUGUUAGUUGCCAUCAUUUAGUUGGGCACUCUAGCAAGACUGCCGGUGACAAACCGGAGGAAGGUGGGGAUGACGUCAAAUCAUCAUGCCCCUUAUGACCUGGGCUACACACGUGCUACAAUGGGAAGUACAACGAGUCGCGAAGUCGCGAGGCUAAGCUAAUCUCUUAAAGCUUCUCUCAGUUCGGAUUGUAGGCUGCAACUCGCCUACAUGAAGCCGGAAUCGCUAGUAAUCGCGGAUCAGCACGCCGCGGUGAAUACGUUCCCGGGCCUUGUACACACCGCCCGUCACACCACGAGAGUUUUAACACCCGAAGUCGGUGAG